Molecule: unclassified non-coding RNA, 821 nt
Filed under: Hevea brasiliensis (rubber tree)
Lineage: Eukaryota; Viridiplantae; Streptophyta; Magnoliopsida; Malpighiales; Euphorbiaceae
Source: RNAcentral
CCCUUAUUUCUUUUUUUUUUUUUUCCUUUUCUUUAUUAUUGUUUUAUACUGUUCUCAAUUUUUUUUCUAAGACGCUGGCUAAGGAAGGGGUUUGAGAAGGAUAGACUUCUGGUAAAAUGACUCGUCUCUGGCCAAGCAAUAUAUGUUUUUGAGCUUGUAUUUUCUCAAAUUUUAUUUUUUGUUGCAUAGUUUUAGAAAUUCAUGUAAUCUGUUGAUUCUGUUCUGCAAUUAUUCCCAGAAAUAAUAGAAGAAGCAAAUUUUCGGAAGAAUAUAGGGUCAUCAAUUUGCUGAUAGUUUUUGACCUUAAAAAUUUGGGGGUUAGAAAUGUAGAAUUCUAGUGUCAUCAAUCUUGUUGAAAUCAACAGAAGUUCACUUCCUACUUGUGGAUAGAUUUAAACUGAUCACCAGUUAGGCAAUUGUGAUAUCAGCUGUAGACUUGUUAAACCACUUGUUGUGCCCACUCAAGAGGGGAAGGGGCUACUGAUGCUUUGAGGUCUCCAUGUCAGUUAACUGCAAAUAAAUGUUAACUGACAUUUUUAACCUAUUUUGCUUAAAGGUUCCUGUGUUGUGAAUGUGCAUGCUUUGGGGCAGUGUGAAUGAUUUGAAUUCAACUUCUUGCAUGAGGAUUUGUGUAGACAACAAAUUUUUGCUAGUAAUUAAUUUCCCUUACCAUUCUGUGUUUGUUUGGACAUGAGCAAUCUAUAGCAGUUCAAGUUUGAAGAAGAUUAUUACAUAAUGAGGACAUAAUGCACGUGUGAAAUGAGGGAAUAUGCCUUGUGUAAGGUUAUCUACAAUAACUAAUGCAUCCCACAUCGGUUCUG